Molecule: ribosomal RNA, 497 nt
Filed under: uncultured bacterium
Lineage: Bacteria
Description: partial 16S ribosomal RNA
Rfam family: Bacterial small subunit ribosomal RNA
Source: RNAcentral
GAUGAACGCUGGCGGCGUGCCUAAUACAUGCAAGUCGAGCGAACAGACGAUGAUCUUGCUCCUUUGACGUUAGCGGCGGACGUGUGAGUAACACGUGUAUCACCUCCCUAUCAUACUGGUAUAACUUCGGGACACCGGCUCUAAUCCCGUAUAAUAUAUUGAUGCGCAUUGUUCAAUAGUGAAAUACGGUUUUGGUGUCACUUAUCGAUGGUUCGGCGCCGCAUUAGCUAGUUGGUAAGUUAACGGGCUAUCAAGGCAACGAUGCGUAGCCGAACGGAGAGGGGGAUCGGCCACACGGGAACUGAGACACGGUCCAGACUCCUACGGGAGGGAGCAGUAGGGAAUGUUACGCAAUGGGCGAAAGCCUGACGGAGCAACGCCGCGUGAGAGAUGAAGGUCUUCGGAUCGUAAAACUCUGUUAUUAGGGAAGAACAAAUGUGUAAGUAACUAUGCACGUCUUGACGGUAACUAAUAAGAAAGCCACGGCUAACUACGUG